UUACCAGCACGUUAUGGUGGGCACUCUAAGGAGACUGACCGGUGGACAAACCGGAGGAAGGUGGGGAUGACGUCAAGUCAUCAUGGCCCUUACGGCCUGGGCUACACACGUGCUACAAUGGUCGGUACAAAGGGUUGCCAAGCCGCGAGGUGGAGCUAAUCCCAUAAAACCGAUCGUAGUCCGGAUCGCAGUCUGCAACUCGACUGCGUGAAGUCGGAAUCGCUAGUAAUCGUGAAUCAGAAUGUCACGGUGAAUACGUUCCCGGGCCUU
RNAcentral lists this ribosomal RNA (270 nucleotides) under uncultured Pseudomonas sp. RNAcentral's name for it is "partial 16S ribosomal RNA". It matches the Rfam family "Bacterial small subunit ribosomal RNA", at positions 1115 to 1382 of the family's 1533-position model. The record is from RNAcentral. Lineage: Bacteria; Pseudomonadati; Pseudomonadota; Gammaproteobacteria; Pseudomonadales; Pseudomonadaceae.